CUUCUCAACUCUAAACCCUAAAACUUAAACUCUAAACCCUAAACCCUAAAUUAUAAACCCUAAACCCCAUCCUUUGAGUGCUAUUUUUGUGACUUUUGGCCUUGAGUGCUAGUUUGGGAACAAAAACUUGAUUUAGUGCUAUUUUGAUCUUUUUCUUUAUUUUAAAUCUUAGAGAAAAUUAAAAUUGAUUUUGUUUUUAUUUUUUGUCAACUUGUCUCUUCGAAAAACUCGGAAAAGGUGAAACGGAUCCAUUGUAUUUGUAUGUUUUUCCUUAUUCCCAAGUGUUUUUUUUUCUUUGAUCAAAUAUAAACCAUUUCCCAAGUGUUAUAUUCCAGUUUUUAAGAGUCUUUUUCUAUGAAAAUCUGCUAGUUUAAAAAAAUAAAGGUUGGUAUUGAUGAAUUCAAUGUAUAGAUUAACUCUAACGUUAUAUCUUGAAAUUCAGCUGCAACAAAAUAGCUCUUGAAAUUUUAGAUUUGAAUAGAUAAUGCACUUGUUACUUCAUGUAUAACGUGUGUAGGUAACAACUAAAUGUAUAUUUUCGGUUCAUUGGAUGAAAGAAUCUAACGUUUCUUGAGCUAUAUAUUUUAUCAUGUACGUAGUAGUUGGAAAAGUUGUAUAGUUAUGUUAUACAGUACGUACAACAAGAUAGUCGUCCUUGUUAUUUUAUAUAGCAUAUUCUUUUAUAAGAAAAAGUUUGAUAUUUUCAUUGGUUAAUACAACUACUGCAACAGGAAAAUUCAAAAGAGCGAAACAUGAAUGUGACAUCAGUAAUAUAAACGUUAAUAGUAACGAUUAUGAAGAAAAGCUAACAGCAUGUGUCGGUAAAAUACUAUUCGUCGGCAACAUGGCGUUUCAACCGGCAGAUUCUUUUUAGAAAAGUUCGUUUUUUUUUUUAACUUGAAUGACCCUUUUCUUUGAUCCAAAACUACAUGGCUCAUGGGUCUAUUGUCAUGGGAGUUGAUUAUAGAAAUUUUUAUGUUUUAAGACACAUUUUCACUUUCAAUUUACACAAUCAAACACAUGUUGCUGGAGGCACACUUUCUCUGUGGUGAUUGUCUCUUAUACUCCCAAUAUUGUUUCUUCUUAACAUUCUUUCUUUCGUAGCUAACUUUUUUUUUAAAAUAAAACAACAAUAUAUCCAAUUGGACACACAUCUCAAUUAAAGAAAUAUAAUAAAAUUCAAAAUACAAUUAAUCCAUUAUCUCUCAUAUUUUUGAGACAAAAAAUUGAAAUCACUUUCAUAGUUUCUCAAAACCUAAUUGCAACGAUCCCCUUUCAUCAUCUAUCCCCGAACCUCGUCCAGCUUCGAGAAACCAUGGUGAAAUCGAAGUCGAAGAAGAAAGGGAACCUCAAUAGUCAACCUUCUUCACCGCAGAUCGACAACAGAGGUUUAUAUUUUGAAUUCUUUAACUCUUUUUGACUUUAAAGAGUUUUCGAAAUCCCUAACUUUUUAUGUUUUUCUUGUUUGUGUUGUAAUUUUCCAAUUGGAUCGAAAUUUCUGAGAUUUUGUGGAUGGGAGAGAUAAUGAGCAGAUCUGAGAGCUCCAGUGUGGAGAGGGCAACGUGACGGCGAGCAUGUCCAAGCUCCGUUGUGGAGAGGAUGACAUGACGGCCAGCAGAUCUGAGCUCCGGUGCGGAGAAACGCGGCGACGAACAGGUCAUGCCUCUAUUGUGGAAAAGAAGACGACAAGCUCUCGUGGUGUGAAGAUGGAUUUUUGGAUAAAACUUGACAUGACCACAGCAAGAAUUCAUGGAUAAUGCAGCAAGAUAUACUUGACAUGACCACAGCAAGAAUUCAUGGAUAAUGCAGCAAGAUAUUUUAACUACAUGACCACAUCAAGAGUCUAUGACGUAGUUCACAACAACAACGUCCUAAACAUCAAUCUUGUUUCCACCCAUUAAGAGUCUAUGGAUGAUGCAGCUCAACACCUCCUAUCCAGACUCCAAAACGUGGUUUAUCUACUUUCACUUGGUCUUGUAUUUCAUAUCUAUGUCAACAUAUGUAAUUACUAUAGACCAAACUUGGGGAAAGUAUGGAUAUGAACGUUUUAGUGUA
This is a long non-coding RNA of Brassica napus (rape), 2055 nucleotides long. RefSeq lists it as uncharacterized. NCBI's taxonomy places the organism in Eukaryota, Viridiplantae, Streptophyta, Magnoliopsida, Brassicales, Brassicaceae. The record is from RefSeq and is a predicted model, not a curated record. The transcript has 2 exons.